Molecule: long non-coding RNA, 476 nt
Filed under: Brassica napus (rape)
Lineage: Eukaryota; Viridiplantae; Streptophyta; Magnoliopsida; Brassicales; Brassicaceae
Description: long non-coding RNA (BNAP_LNC013277)
Source: RNAcentral
AAACGUCUAGCUCGAGUUUAUGAAAAGUCUUGGCCCCCGAAAAAAAAUAUAUUAAAAAAAAAAAAAAAUGAAGAAAAGGGGGCUGGCAAAGUUGUUUAGAGCUAAGAUUUGUUUAGAAGUUGAGAAAAUCCUUUAUAGAUUUCAAAGAAAAAGGGUUUUAUGUGCAAAGUAUUCUUGGGAUCUUUUGGUGAGAGAUGGGAGUUGGAUUUGACAUUGGGAAGUGAUUGUGUAACUAGUAUGUUUGAGAAAAGGGUAGAACAAUGGAGAUUGAGCAUUGUAUGCAUGAGUUGGUCACUUUCUUAGAUAUAUUAUGUGCAAUGUCAAGGCUACUUGUUUUGAGAGUAAACCACUUAAAAAGAUCAUGGAUUUUGAACCUCUUGACCCACUUUUAAUAAAAGCCUUCCUUUACUCAACCAAAUGAUUUGGACCAAUUGACCAUUUGAUCAUGGAUUUUGAACCUCUUGACCCACUUUUAA